RNAcentral lists this ribosomal RNA (1248 nucleotides) under metagenome. RNAcentral's name for it is "bacterial LSU rRNA". It matches the Rfam family "Bacterial large subunit ribosomal RNA", at positions 1635 to 2875 of the family's 2925-position model. The record is from RNAcentral.
UAUACGACCGUACCGCAAACCGUCACUGGUGCGCGAGAUGAGUAUUCUAAGGCGCUUGAGAGAACUCAGGAGAAGGAACUCGGCAAAUUGACACCGUAACUUCGGAAGAAGGUGUGCCCUAUUAGUGUGUAGUGAACAACGAAGCAUGAAUGGGUUGCAAAAAAUCGGUGGCUGCGACUGUUUAUUAAAAACACAGCACUCUGCAAACACGAAAGUGGACGUAUAGGGUGUGACGCCUGCCCGGUGCUGGAAGAUUAAAUGAUGGGGUGCAAGCUCUUGAUUGAAGUCCCAGUAAACGGCGGCCGUAACAAUAACGGUCCUAAGGUAGCGAAAUUCCUUGUCGGGUAAGUUCCGACCCGCACGAAUGGCGUAACGAUGGCCACACUGUCUCCUCCUGAGACUCAGCGAAGUUGAAAUGUUUGUGAUGAUGCAAUCUCCCCGCGGAAAGACGGAAAGACCCCAUGAACCUUUACUGUAGCUUUGUAUUGGACUUUGAACAGAUCUGUGUAGGAUAGGUGGGAGGCUUUGAAGCAGGGUCGCUAGAUCUUGUGGAGCCAACGUUGAAAUACCACCCUGGUGUGUUUGAGGUUCUAACCUAGGUCCAUUAUCUGGAUCGGGGACAGUGCAUGGUAGGCAGUUUGACUGGGGCGGUCUCCUCCCAAAGCGUAACGGAGGAGUUCGAAGGUACGCUAGUUACGGUCGGACAUCGUGACGAUAGUGCAAUGGCAUAAGCGUGCUCAACUGCGAGACUGACAAGUCGAGCAGAUGCGAAAGCAGGACAUAGUGAUCCGGUGGUUCUGUAUGGAAGGGCCAUCGCUCAACGGAUAAAAGGUACUCUGGGGAUAACAGGCUGAUACCGCCCAAGAGUUCAUAUCGACGGCGGUGUUUGGCACCUCGAUGUCGGCUCAUCUCAUCCUGGGGCUGUAGCCGGUCCCAAGGGUAUGGCUGUUCGCCAUUUAAAGAGGUACGUGAGCUGGGUUUAAAACGUCGUGAGACAGUUUGGUCCCUAUCUUCCGUGGGCGCUGCAGAUUUGAGGAAGCCUGCUCCUAGUACGAGAGGACCGGAGUGGACACACCUCUGGUGUAUCGGUUGUCACGCCAGUGGCAUUGCCGAGUAGCUAAGUGUGGAAGAGAUAACCGCUGAAAGCAUCUAAGCGGGAAACUCGUUUCAAGAUGAGAUCUGCCGGGGCCUUGAGCCCCCUAAAGAGUCGUUCAAGACCAGGACGUUGAUAGGUCAGGUGUGGAAGUG